RNAcentral lists this ribosomal RNA (253 nucleotides) under uncultured bacterium. Its description in RNAcentral is "partial 16S ribosomal RNA". It matches the Rfam family "Bacterial small subunit ribosomal RNA", at positions 524 to 776 of the family's 1533-position model. The record is from RNAcentral.
UACGGAGGGUGCAAGCGUUAUUCGGAAUUACUAGGUGUAAAGGGCGUGUAGGCGGUUUAGUAAGUUAGAUGUGAAAACUCAUGGCUCAACUGUGAGCGUGCAUCUAAAACUAUUAGACUUGAGUAUGGAAGGGGAAAACGGAAUUUCUAGUGUAGCGGUGGAAUGUGUAGAUACUAGAAGGAACACCGAUGGCGAAAGCGGUUUUCUGGUCCAAUACUGACGCUAAGGCGCGAAAGCUAGGGGAGCAAACAGG